Molecule: long non-coding RNA, 173 nt
Organism: Gopherus evgoodei (Goodes thornscrub tortoise)
Lineage: Eukaryota; Metazoa; Chordata; Testudines; Testudinidae
Exons: 3
Source: RefSeq, a predicted model, not a curated record
AUCAUAGACUCAUAGAAUAUCAGGGCUGGAAGGGACCUCAGGAGGUCAUCUAGUCCAAUCCCCUGCUCAAAGUAGAACCAAUUCCGAACUAAAUCAUCUGAGACAGGGCUUUGUCAAGCCCGACCUUAAAAACCUUGAAGGAAGGAGAUUCAAACACCUCCCUAGGUAACCCA